GACUGUACAAAGGUAGCAUAAUCAUUUGUCUUUUAAUUGAAGGCUGGAAUGAAUGGUUGGAUGAAAAAUAUACUUUCUUAUUUUUAUAUAUAAAAUUUGAUUUUUUAGUCAAAAAGCUAAAAUUUUUUUAUAGGACGAGAAGACCCUAUAGAAUUUUAUUUUUUAUAUUUAUAAACAUUUAAGUUUUUUAUAUGAUUAUAUAUUUUAAAUAAUUAUGUUGGGGUGACAAAAAAAAUACUAUAACUUUUUUUUAAUUUUUUCAUUUAUAAAUGUUUUUUUGAUCCUAUAUUAUGGAUUAGAAGAUUAAAUUACCUUAGGGAUAACAGCGUUAUUUUUUUGGAGAGUACUUAUCGAUAAAAAAGUUUGCGACCUCGAUGUUGGAUUAAAAUAGGUACCAGGGGCAGAAUAUUGGUAACCAAGUCUGUUCGACUUUUAAUUUUUUACA
This 445-nucleotide ribosomal RNA is filed under the name Trigonotylus caelestialium. RNAcentral describes it as "partial large subunit ribosomal RNA". The stretch from base 319 to 445 matches the Rfam family "Bacterial large subunit ribosomal RNA", at positions 2473 to 2600 of the family's 2925-position model. The record is from RNAcentral. Lineage: Eukaryota; Metazoa; Arthropoda; Insecta; Hemiptera; Miridae.